UACGGAGGGUGCAAGCGUUAUCCGGGUUUACUGGGUUUAAAGGGUGCGUAGGUGGGUUGGUAAGUCAGUGGUGAAAUACUUUCGCUUAACGAAGGAACUGCCAUUGAUACUACCAGUCUUGAAUACAGUGGAGGUAGGCGGAAUGCGUCAUGUAGCGGUGAAAUGCUUAGAUAUGACGCAGAACACCAAUUGCGAAGACAGCUUGCUACACUGUUAUUGACACUGAGGCACGAAAGCGUGGGGAUCAAACAGG
This 253-nucleotide ribosomal RNA is filed under the name uncultured bacterium. RNAcentral's name for it is "partial 16S ribosomal RNA". It matches the Rfam family "Bacterial small subunit ribosomal RNA", at positions 524 to 776 of the family's 1533-position model. The record is from RNAcentral.